CGUUGCAUUUAAAUGUAAUGAGUGAUUUUGCUUUUUAGAUUUGCCGGUGUACAGCGAGCUGAUCUCCCUUGCAGAAAAAGAUUUAUAUGACGGUGAACUAGCACAAGAAAUCCUAAACACAAAGGAUCAUGCAAUAACUUCCCCAUCUACUAGAAGGACAUCUCAACGUAGUGUAGAAGCAACUUCUCUUCACAAGGAAUUCCUACAACUGGCACAACAAUAGAAAGACAUUCUCAACGAAACAGUGGUG
Long non-coding RNA from Xenia sp. Carnegie-2017, 250 nucleotides. RefSeq lists it as uncharacterized. The record is from RefSeq and is a predicted model, not a curated record. The transcript has 3 exons. NCBI's taxonomy places the organism in Eukaryota, Metazoa, Cnidaria, Anthozoa, Malacalcyonacea, Xeniidae.